UACAGAGGGGGCAAGCGUUGCUCGGAAUUACUGGGCGUAAAGGGCGCGUAGGCGGCCCGCUAAGUCGAACGUGAAAUCCCCGAGCUCAACUCGGGAACUGCGUCCGAUACUGGCGGGCUUGAAUCCGGGAGAGGGAUGCGGAAUUCCAGGUGUAGCGGUGAAAUGCGUAGAUAUCUGGAGGAACACCGGUGGCGAAGGCGGCAUCCUGGACCGGCAUUGACGCUGAGGCGCGAAAGCGUGGGGAGCGAUCCGG
This 253-nucleotide ribosomal RNA is filed under the name uncultured bacterium. Its description in RNAcentral is "partial 16S ribosomal RNA". It matches the Rfam family "Bacterial small subunit ribosomal RNA", at positions 524 to 776 of the family's 1533-position model. The record is from RNAcentral.